AUCAUGUGAUGAACUAACUAAACCAUCUUUCGACUGAAAAAGUGAUGCUAAAAAGUUGUUACUGAGAUUGAAU
Drosophila ananassae is the source of this 73-nucleotide non-coding RNA. Lineage: Eukaryota; Metazoa; Arthropoda; Insecta; Diptera; Drosophilidae. The record is from Rfam.